This 3440-nucleotide long non-coding RNA is filed under the name Lupinus angustifolius (narrow-leaved blue lupine). Its description in RNAcentral is "long non-coding RNA (LANG_LNC001754)". Lineage: Eukaryota; Viridiplantae; Streptophyta; Magnoliopsida; Fabales; Fabaceae. The record is from RNAcentral.
AGUAGUCGGUUGUUAAUAAAGUACCCCAAUUAUGAAUCACUCCAUCAUCACUUUCCUUAUUAUAUUCUGUUUCCUUCUCCAAAACCUUACACACUCUAACUCUACUACAGAAAUGUCACACUCACUCUUCACACUUACCAUUCUCUUCUUCACACUCUCUUCAUUCGUAACCUCUCACUCCCCUUCUUCGUUGUCUUCUUCUUCUUCUUCCUUCUCAUAUUCCCAACCUCAACCUUCUUCCUCUUCUCCUUUGAUCUCCGAAUGGCAAUCCGCACACGCCACCUACUACGCCGCCUCCGAUCCACGUGACGCCGUCGGCGGCGCGUGCGGAUACGGCGAUUUAAUCAAAGUCGGUUACGGUCAGGCCACGGUAGGGUUGAGCGAGGUGCUGUACGAGCGUGGCCAGAUCUGUGGCGCGUGCUUCGAGGUGCGUUGUGUUGAUGACCUAAAGUGGUGUAUACCUGGAACCUCUAUCAUUGUUACCGCUACUAAUUUCUGUGCUCCGAACUAUGGCUUCACAUCUGAGGGUGGUGGACACUGUAAUCCUCCAAAUAAGCACUUUGUUCUACCGAUUGAGGUUUUUGAGAAGAUCGCUAUCUGGAAAGCAGGGAACAUGCCGGUGCAGUAUCGCAGGUACUCUUAUCAUUUUUUUUCUAUCUUGCAUGUUGCUAUGUUAAAUAAUUUAAGAAACUGAAAUGAAUCGUGAUUUUGAAAUUUUAAUCUAGGGGAAUCUUAGAAGUGCCGUAAGAGAAGUUUAAAAAUAGAAAACUAUCUUGGAAAAUGUUGCAUUCAGACUUUGGAAACUUAGGGUAGUACUUUUUAAUGCAAAUUUUCUUUAUUUGGAUUCCUUAAUUAUGAUAGUAGUUAACAUUGACCCAUUAAUGUCGUAGUAAUAAUUUAAUGGUAGAUGCGUCUUAUAACCUUAUUCUCUCGCUUUACAUAGAAGUUUAGUAAUUACUAGUUUAGAAAUGUUUAUUUGCUUUAGAGCUUUGACUAUUGCAACACGCAUUGUUGGUGAUUAAGAAGGAAAAAAAGAGAAACUGUGGUGGAAUUAACACAAAUUGUAAUUAAAAUCUCAAUGCAUGUUUGGUUAAGCCAAAAUGUUAGAGGAAGAUGGAUAGUGGAUUGUUUCUUUCAAAAGGAGGUUUUGAUUAUUAGCAAUUAUGAAAAUAAACUAAUCUAAGUCAAUCACAGUUUUUCAAAGAAGUACCAACGGGUGUUAGUUAAAGUGGUACAUGCUGCAUUGUCCUGACAUUGUUGCACGGUUGGUUAGAGACUCCAGCAUCAGUAUUGGGAAGCAUAUGAGAAUGAGAGGUUUCCUAAAAAAUGUAGGACUAAUAUUUGUUAAGAAUUUGGUAGAAAUCAUGUAAGAAUCAUCUCAAAAGCACCCACCCCAAACAAUAAUAUUCAAUCUUUUUUAUUUCAUUGCACCUUUGGCCAAGUUCAAUUGAAUUUUUAGACAUGAGGUUGAUAGGAUUGACACAUCUCUAGUUGGUUAUGCUUAUAAUUAUUUUGGCCUUCACAUAAAUUGGAAUCAUGUCAUAACUUAAUAACCCAUUACUACAUUUUUCUUGAAAGCCAUUCCUUGCCAUGCCUAUAGUUAUGUUAUCUUCCCAGAACACAUGUCUACUUUCUCAUUCCAGCAGCAUGAUGGAGUAUAAUCCUUACUGGGUGACCUUGAUGAAAAUUUUGGUUAUAGUAUUUUCAUUGUUCCGUGUGACACUUUGUUUGAUGAUGAUUUCUUUAUGCUUUACUUUAAAAUUUCUAAAUCUUAGCAUGCAGAGAGAAUUCACGGAUAGAACUAUAUUGGGUCUUGUUGGCUUAUAGAGGAUAUAUGCUCCCUAAAUAAAUUAUAUCAUUUGUGUUAAAUAUAGAUUUUCUUUCUAAAAAAUGGUUGAAAUUUCAUAAUUGUGAUACAAAUAUAUCUAUAGUGCAUCUCUUGCACGAAGAUGUAGUAAUCUUCAGCUUACUGCAACGUAGUCUGUUUCAUUGAGAUAUCAUAACAUUUUUAGUGGAAUAUGUACUUAUAGAAUUAGUACAACAUUUAUCAUUGAAUCAAGCCACCCACCAUUUUUUGUGAAAUGUGUACCAAUGCACUAAAUGAAUGCAGACAAAUGAAAAGAAAAUAAGAAGAAAAUAAGAGUUGUGUUUUCUAAGUAGAGGGUAGUUUAGUAUUUUAUUCACUCAUUUUAACUUUAGUUAACGGUGUUAUAUCAAAGUGAGGUAUGUGUAAGGGUAAAAGAAGAAGGGUAGUGUUUGUAGUUUCAUUAAACUUUAUGAGAGGUUCGUGUAAUUUACUCAAAAAAUAUAUAUUCUCUACCUUUUUUAUAAUAUCGUUUUAAGAUUUUCGUUUUAGUUUUAUUUAUAUGAUUUUUCAAAGUUUCCUAUAUAAAAUGAAAUGAAAAUCUUAUCAAAAUAUCAAAAAAGCAAUUAAAUAUUAUUAGUUGGUGAUGAUUAUCAAAAAAAGCAAAAAAGCAAUUAAAUAUUAUUAGUUGGUGAUGAUUAUCAAAAAAAGCAAAAAAGCAAUUAAAUAUUAUUAGUUGGUGAUGAUUAUCAAAAAAAGCAAAAAAGCAAUUAAAUAUUAUUAGUUGGUGAUGAUUUUGAAAGUAAUACUUACUUUUGUUCUUAUAUAUUUUGAGUGUACAAUUUAAUUUCAGAAAAUUAAAAAUUCAAAUUAGUAGUUAGAGAGAUCACAAAUGAGUCAAAAUAAUCUAUGUUUCUAUCAUAAAAAUACUAAAAACACUAAUUUAACUGAUAUUAAAACUAAAAAUUUUACAUGUAAUUUUACGGACAACACAAAUAAAUUUUACCAUAAUUUUUUGUGUGUUAUUAAAGGUAUUCCACCUUUUGAGAAAUCUCUUUUAAGGCGCAUGACUGUUUAUCUUAAAGAAGUGUUGUUCUCAAGAAUCAAACUCUUAAUAUUUUGAUAAUUGCAUGACAGAAUUUUACACUACUAGAUUAACAUAUUGUUGGUUGUAAUUUUAAAUAAAUAUACAAGUUGUUAUGUUGCAUUAAAUUAUCCAAAGAAUGUUAAAAAUGACAAGAGUAAAUGAAAGCAAUGGUGAUAUACCACAUGAAUAAAGUGUGAAACAGCAUGAAAAGAAAGCUAAAGAAACACUGAAACAGUGCAGCAGUAGUAGUCGGUUGUUAAUAAAGUACCCCAAUUAUGAAUCACUCCAUCAUCACUUUCCUUAUUAUAUUCUGUUUCCUUCUCCAAAACCUUACACACUCUAACUCUACUACAGAAAUGUCACACUCACUCUUCACACUUACCAUUCUCUUCUUCACACUCUCUUCAUUCGUAACCUCUCACUCCCCUUCUUCGUUGUCUUCUUCUUCUUCUUCCUUCUCAUAUUCCCAACCUCAACCUUCUUCCUCUUCUCCUUUGAUCUCCGAAUGGCAAUCCGCACACGCCACCUACUACGCCGCCUCCGAUCCAC